AGUGAACGCUGGCGGUGGGCCUAACACAUGCAAGUCGAACGGCAGCACAGUAAGAGCUUGCUCGUACGGGUGGCGAGUGGCGGACGGGUGAGGAAUACAUCGGAAUCUACUUUUUCGUGGGGGAUAACGUCGGGAAACUUACGCUAAUACCGCAUACGACCUGCGGGUGACAGCAUGGGUUCUUGGGACCUUUCGCGAUUGAGUGGGCUGAUGUCGGGUUAGCUAGUUGGCGGGGUGAAGGCCUACCAAGGCGACGAUCCGUAGCUGGUCUGAGAGGAUGAUCAGCCACAAUGGAGCUGAGACGCGGUCCAGACUCCUACGGGAGGCAGCAGUGGGGAAUAUUGGACAAUGAGCGGAAGCCUGAUCCAGCCAUACCGCGUGGGUGAAGAAGGCCUUCGGGUUGUAAAGCCCUUUUGUUGGGAAAGAAAAGCAGCAGGUUAAUAUCCCGCUGUGCUGACGGUACCCAAAUAAUAAGCACCGGCUAACUACGUG
This 492-nucleotide ribosomal RNA is filed under the name uncultured bacterium. RNAcentral's name for it is "partial 16S ribosomal RNA". It matches the Rfam family "Bacterial small subunit ribosomal RNA", at positions 29 to 507 of the family's 1533-position model. The record is from RNAcentral.